UUUGUUUUGAGACAGGGAUUCUCUGUGUAGU
RNAcentral lists this non-coding RNA (31 nucleotides) under Rattus norvegicus (Norway rat). Lineage: Eukaryota; Metazoa; Chordata; Mammalia; Rodentia; Muridae. The record is from RNAcentral.